CAGGCGCCGUCUGAAACGUGAUCAUCAGCAGCAAAACGAUCGUAAAUUUGCAGCUAAAUAACAAUACGCACACAUACACAAUUAUACAUUCACAUACAUAGUUCACAUUUCUAGUUGUCUAAAUGUCGGCAUAAACAUUUCACUCGACUAUUUUUUACGAGCGAAACGAAACACACAAAAAAAAAAAAAAAAAACAGAAAACAAAAAAAAAACAAAAAACAGACAGCACAAAUUAAAGCGUGCGACAUUGUGUAAUGCGUAUUACAAUGCCAACAAAAUGGGGCGUGGCUAGCCAAAAAGAGUUACACUUAAAAAAAGGAGAGAAGAAGACAAUAUUCUACGAGUGCUCAGCCCAGGAAGGUCUCGGGCUCCGGACGUGACAACAACACAUGACAGAGAGUUAGAAAAAAAUGGACAAGCGCAAAAUAAAACACAACAAAAAUCCCAAAAACCCAGAAAGAUUUAUUGAUCAAAGUGAUGUGAAUUGAAUUUGUGACUCAGUUGGCGGCUUCUGUUGCAACAUUCAAAUGCCCAGCCAUGCGUCAGCGCUGGAUAACAAUGCGCGGCGACGCUAUGUUGUCCAUUAGCCAGGGGCAGCUAAUUAAAAUGAAAGUUGUUUCUGCUGCUGCCGUCAAUUUGCAAAGUGAAAUUGCCUACUAGCAAAAUCAGUCAAAGAGCGAGAGGUUGGCCAACUGCAAAUGCCAACAAGUGCGAAAUGCGAUCGAAUUGCUAAGCGAAAAUUGCAGCCACUUGGAGAAAUGUCAGAUUGAAGACUGACAAACGAAAGCGCAAACACUUACGCAAAUUGCCUGAACGAAUGAACACUGAGGCAAACGAGGCAAAUGAAACUAAUUGAAAUGUGAGUGCCUGGCAAUAAGUGCAGCAGCAAUCAUUUCAUGCUCGAGGAGAGGUCAAAGUGCAAUUCAAUGCGAAACUGAUGAAACUGCAGCAGCAGCAACUGCAGAACAUAAUCUAAGGCGAGCAUAAUUAGAUAAAUGAUUAAGCCAAGUACAAGAGUCUAAUUAAAUGUUAAUUGUAGUUGAGUUCAAUUUGUAAUUUAAUAAAGAAUGCAAAAUGGGAAACUUUUGAUAUCGAAUU
Molecule: small RNA, 1098 nt
Filed under: Drosophila mojavensis
Lineage: Eukaryota; Metazoa; Arthropoda; Insecta; Diptera; Drosophilidae
Description: GI25855
Source: RNAcentral